Molecule: ribosomal RNA, 497 nt
Filed under: uncultured bacterium
Lineage: Bacteria
Description: partial 16S ribosomal RNA
Rfam family: Bacterial small subunit ribosomal RNA
Source: RNAcentral
GAUGAACGCUGGCGGCGUGCCUAAUACAUGCAAGUCGAGCGAACAGAUAAGGAGCUUGCUCCUUUGACGUUAGCGGCGGACGGGUGAGUAACACGUGGGUAACCUACCUAUAAGACUGGAAUAACUCCGGGAAACCGGGGCUAAUGCCGGAUAACAUUUAGAACCGCAUGGUUCUAAAGUGAAAGAUGGUUUUGCUAUCACUUAUAGAUGGACCCGCGCCGUAUUAGCUAGUUGGUAAGGUAACGGCUUACCAAGGCAACGAUACGUAGCCGACCUGAGAGGGUGAUCGGCCACACUGGAACUGAGACACGGGCCAGACUCCUACGGGAGGCAGCAGUAGGGAAUCUUCCGCAAUGGGCGAAAGCCUGACGGAGCAACGCCGCGUGAGUGAUGAAGGUCUUCGGAUCGUAAAACUCUGUUAUUAGGGAAGAACAAAUGUGUAAGUAACUGUGCACGUCUUGACGGUACCUAAUCAGAAAGCCACGGCUAACUACGUG